This 482-nucleotide ribosomal RNA is filed under the name uncultured bacterium. RNAcentral's name for it is "partial 16S ribosomal RNA". It matches the Rfam family "Bacterial small subunit ribosomal RNA", at positions 30 to 507 of the family's 1533-position model. The record is from RNAcentral.
AUUGAACGCUGGCGGCAUGCCUUACACAUGCAAGUCGAACGGUAACAGGUCUUCGGAUGCUGACGAGUGGCGCACGGGUGAGUAAUACAUCGGAACGUGCCCGAUCGUGGGGGAUAACGAGGCGAAAGCUUUGCUAAUACCGCAUAAGAUCUACGGAUGAAAGCAGGGGACCGCAAGGCCUUGCGCGAACGGAGCGGCCGAUGGCAGAUUAGGUAGUUGGUGGGAUAAAAGCUUACCAAGCCGACGAUCUGUAGCUGGUCUGAGAGGACGACCAGCCACACUGGGACUGAGACACGGCCCAGACUCCUACGGGAGGCAGCAGUGGGGAAUUUUGGACAAUGGGCGAAAGCCUGAUCCAGCCAUGCCGCGUGCAGGAUGAAGGCCUUCGGGUUGUAAACUGCUUUUGUACGGAACGAAAAGACUCUGGUUAAUACCUGGGGUCCAUGACGGUACCGUAAGAAUAAGCACCGGCUAACUACGUG